GCCAGUGAUGGCGAGCGGAAGAUGAAACUUUGCUCACUUGCUGCUCACUUCUUCCCGUGCGGCCCGGUUCCUGACAGGCCGCAGACCGUUACUGGUCCGUGGCCCCGGGGGUCGGGGACCCCUGCUGUACAGCAUAUUUGGGGGAUCGGUCAUCCCUCUUUCGCACUUAUCAGGGUCACCCUACCUCAGAACAAGCACAAACUGUUCACACAAGGAGGAGUUGGAGGGCUGGGAAUCUUCUCCCCACUCUUCCUGAAUCUCCUUUCCUCAUUAUAAAGCGUUCGAAUCUACCAGCAACAGACCUCCUGGAUUUGAAAUUUUCAACUUAUCUUUCUCGUCAGCCCUUACAUUAGCUGGCUUGCUUUUUAAAUCAACACUCCUGCCUUCUGAGGUUAUACUUUGGGGAAAUGUUGCCCAGGGAUAGGGGGAUGGAAAGCCAAGGAUUUGAUUUGCCAAAGAUAGUGUCUGGCUCUUGUGAGAUGCGCAAGGGCUGAUUUACAGCCUUUUUACUUUGGUCUUUGGGGUGGUGGGAGGUGGGAAACUUGGGUGAUUUCUUGAUUGGCAAUGAGGAUAAAAUGUUAAUGCUUUUUUCAGAGCUUAACUGCUUUAUCCUAUUCUGCAAAUCAAUAAGGGAUCUCUUUAUGCUCACUUCAGAGCCGUGUUCAACUAUUGGAAGGAGGCAAUUUGCCUAUCCAAGCCAAACUAAAAGCAUUAAUUCAUUGGUCAAAUAUUUGUUACCUGGAAUGGAACUUGAAAAAACACAUUUUGAUUUUAAUUUUCUGUGUUAUGAUUUUCUCACUCUCUUUUUAAGAAAAAUCACCCGAAUAACAUUUUAAAAAGGUGAACCAGCUGCUGGGCAAAGGUCACUGUGGGAUAGCUUGCAUGCAGAUACCAAUGUGACAAUCAUGACUUUGAUUCAUGACCACAAAUGAAUGAAUUCAUCCAUUUGGUUAAUUUUAUUCAACAGAUAUUUAUUAAGUGCCUUCCCUGUGGUGUGUAAGUAAUGAGGGUGCAAUGAACAUAACAUUUCUUUGCCCUCAGAAAGUGUUAUAUCUCAUGUUUCUUUCUUUUUUGGUUGUUGUUACAAGUUUGGAUUUCUGGUGAGUGCUAAAAAAUUUGACUUCUGGGCAAAUGUUGAAUCCAGAGAUGUAUUCCAUACCCUAUCUGCCAGUGGGCAGUAGGUUCAGACUGGAAUAAGAGAAUUAGGGCAAAUAAAAGGACAUAGAUGGGGCUGGUUUUAGGAACCUCUGAGGAAAAAUGGAUUGCAUAAUCCUUGUAUGAGCCCUUAGCCAAUCUCACAGAUGGAAAUCUGAACCUGGGGACCAGAGAAGCAGCCAGGUUCCGGGGAGUCCUUCCUGAAGGCAUCCUGUGCAUGGGUAUUCCCCUCCAUGGGGCUGUACAUUCCUGGAGUGACUUUUGCCCCAUGACAUCUUAAAACUUCUAACAACUCUGGGGAAUGAGAUCAGAUAUAGUUUUGGGUGUUCCUCACCCUGUUAUUUUCUGUAGCUUUGCAAAACAAGUACCGGGUGACUAAAACUUCCCUACCAACCAUUUAAUCAAAAAUUGAAAAAAAAAAAAUUUUGUUGUUACUGUUUUAGUUGAGAUGGAUCACUCAGUUUCUAGAAGUCAUGACACAGAUGCUCCUGCCAUGGCUUGUUACCCUUCUCCAUCAGUCACCGGCAUCUAGCACGAAGUGUGGCACAUGAUAAGCUUUCAACAUUAUUUGUUGAAAGAAAUAAUAAAACCCUCACAUGAUAAUGGAUUUCAUUCACUAGUUAAUAAAUCAGAUUUGCAUUUUUAAUCUAGAAGGGAAUGAUUACCAAUUCCUUAAGACCCAACACAAUUCUUUUGAUCUCUCUCUGUUUUAAUUUUCCAGGAAAUAGCUUUUAACAACCUACACCUUGUCUGUUGAAUUCUCAACCAGUUCUUGCCCUUAUCGUUGUGGCGAUAAUACCAAAGUACUGUCCUUCUUACUGGUGACUAUUGAAAUGAGAUGAUAACUUCCCAGAAACUGCCUAGAAAUAAUCAUCACUUUAUUACCCUUUGAAAAGAAGAUUGAUAGAAAAGUCAUUUGAAAGAUGGUUCAUUACCAUGCCCUAGUACGAUUUCUUUACUCACAUCUCUCCAAAGCAUGAGAAAGGGAGGAUUAUUCUCUGAGGUCGGAAUUUGAAGGCUGUGUGUUUGCCUCUUUGAAGUCUUGGUAUUUAAUUUUCUGUAGUCAUUUCUUGGGCAAUUUUCUAAGAAACUAGUUGAAGCUAAUUUAUCAUAAGUUAAAGUCAAAUGACAGAAAAGAUUUUUUUCUCCCUUAGCAGCAUUUUAUUCCACAGAGGUUAGCUUCUGAAGGAAAAUGAGACUUAAAUAGCAUUUCAGAUCUCCAGCCACAUGGAUGGGUACACAGAAUAGAAAGGGUUCUGGAAACCACACUGAUUUUUUUUAUUUAGCAUAGUUAUUAUUUUGUGAUUUUUCUUCCUGGACCUUGAUAUACAGAUAAUGAAAUGCUCUCCUAAAAAUAAUUAGUUAAGUUGCUUAAUUUUUCAAAAAGAAACUUUCAGUCCUCAAGAGAUAACAACCCUUGGUCUCUAUCAUUGGCCGAUUUGGUUUAACUUUAUAUAAUUCUUUUAACCUUUGUCUUAAACCCUAACUCUGCAAUGAGAUGAGGUAACUUGCCUUACCUUUUCAAACAAAGGCAAACGAUAAUGAGAGAGCAUUUAUAAGGUCCUUUGAGAAUCUUAUUUGAAAGGCUUCUCGUGAGCAUGGGAUCCAGUUCAAUAAGUAAUAAGGGGUUUUCAUUUUUCAUAUUAUGUGACCAUUAUUUCAUGUUUACAGAGGAUGCCCAGUGAACUUGUUUCAGUAUAAACACAAAAGUGGUUUCUGCUGUUUCUCUCUUUCCAAGGGGAAAAAUCUCAUUGCCCCCUUUUUGUUUUGAAACUUAAUUAAAGUAGUUCAAAAUCAGGAUGUUCACCAUUUUACAGUGUCUCCUACUUAUUUUGUUUAUUGAUGGAUUUAGGUUUACACAGCUAACAUCUUUUGCCACCUUCUGCCCAAAGAAAGCCUUCCAGGAUAGGUAAAGUCCAAAUCUGACACCAUCAUUGGUGAUAUUUUUAGGAAUGAAAAAAGAGCAGGUUUAGAAUCUUGAUAUUUGCAAAGGUUGAUGUUUUACAAAAAAUUUAAUUAAUGCUGAUUUAGAUUUUGUCAGUGUAGUGCUGUUUAAUAAUAAGAAAAUUCUGCCUAUGGCUUGCCAGUGUCUUUUAGUAACUAACUUCCUUUAGAAUUGUCGUCUUCCCCUAGUGGUUUUCGUUUGUUUGUUUUCAUUUUGAACCUUUAGAAAUUCCACCUGCUAUAUUAGUCAGAAAGUCCUUACAAUUGUUAUGGUAGAAACCCUUUGGCUAAUGACUGUCCAAAUGUGGACAUAAUAAUUACCUUUCACUGGAGGGAUUUGGGGGAAUCAUCAUUGGUGUCAUGUGAUUGCACUUUGGCUUCUAAUGAAUCUUUUUCUGUUUAUCAUAUUGGUCACCAGCAAGAAGUCACAGAACCUCAGGAUGCUUUGGUAACCAAAAGAAAUCCUUGGUGUGUCUUAUGGGCUGAAUCGUGUUGAAAUUCUAACCCCCACUACCUCGGAAUAUGAUUGUAUUUGGAAAUAAGGUAUUUACAGAGGUAAUUAAGUUUUAAUCAGGUCAUUAGGGUGGGCCCCGAUUCAAUAUUACUGAUAUCCUUAUAAGAAGAGGAGAUUAGGACACAGACACACUGAAAGUGAUGAUCAUGUGAAGACCGAGAGAAUGCAGCCACCUCCAAGCCAAGGAGAGAGGCCUCGCAAGAAACCAGACACACUGACAUCUUGGACUCCCAGCUUCCAGAACUGGAGGAAAGAAAUUUCUCUUGUUUAAGUCACCCAGUCUAUGCUGCUUUGUUAUGGCAGUCCCAGAAAACUGUUACAGUGUGUUGCCAUGGAAUUCCCUACUUGCCCCUGGAAUUUUGUAGAAAGGGACUUGGGGAGCAGAGAUGCUGGCAACAACAAUGGAGAGAAGGAGGAGGAAUGACCGUUGGUUGCAUGUAUCUGCUGUGGGAGAGGACAGAGAAUAUCACGGAUGGUGGCAGGACUGGUGAAUUAUUUUAUUGAGAGAGUAGAGAGUGAUGUGUUCUGGAGAUCACCUGAGUGUUACAGAGGAAAACAAACAUGGGCCGGGCUUCAUGACAUGGGGUGUUUGCCUACUGCUAAAGGGCUUCUGGGGAUUGGAAGAGAGGCAUGGUGAUGAUGUACAGUGCAGUCCUUAGUUUUGUACAACUUCUGUAUAUAUCCUAUUUAAGAAAUACUCAUUGAGCUUUACCAUGUGUUAUGUCCUGACCCUAAGGUUAGACCUAUGAGAUAAGAUCCAUUUCUGUCUUCAAGGCUCUCCAAAACAAAUAAGGAGUCUACAGUAUACUGAUUUGUCAUUGCCCAGCAAUGAUAAUGAUUAUAAUGAUAACUUUUAAAUAUUAUUAUUAUUAUAGGCAAUGUGUGUUGAGCACUCAUUAUGUUCUAGGCAUUGUGCUAAAUGCCCAUUACAAAGAUUUGAAAAGGCUGCUUAUACGUUAGGCAACUUAAUUAAAUCAGCUACCCAGGGAGGAGCCAGGAUUUAAAGAUCCAUCAAAUCAAUGACAUAGAUGGCUAGGCAAUACUAACCAGCACACUUAGAAUUACUAGAGCGUGAAUCCCUAUGAUGGUUUGAAACACAGAUUUGGAAGUCAGACCUAACUUAGGCCACUGGAUGAGAAAAUCCAAACUGGCAUUUGUGGAAUGUUACCUUGUGUCCUCUCUGUACAUGUCACUGUCAAGGAAAUCUUUGCUGCACAGUAAAUAGCCAUUCAUAGAGUGUGAGUCCAUGGUAGAGGCACUUCCUCUUGUCAUCAUCAGAAGGUAAGUGCAAGAUGAUGAGUGGGUUCUUUUGGGUCUGGCAUUGUGUCUACCAAUGAAUUUUUCUGUUUCCACUUGCAUUUCUGUCCUCCUUUUAUGUCUUCCUAAAAAAUUAGAUAUUUGUUGGUCAAUACAGCAGCUAACUAUUUGAUAGCAUCUAGUGACAUUCCAGUUUAUCAAUUUAUAGUGAGAAAUAGAAUCUAUGCAAACGACAAAACCUUUAUCAGUCUGACCAUCACACUGUGUCCCUGGAGGCCUUGGAAGCUGGAUUAUAAUCAAAGGGUUGCAUGAAGUGCGUGGAAUCAGAACAGAGUUAGAUAAAUCACAUAUUUAAUGGUGUCAGGCUAAGACAUCCUGUUUCAUCCCAUCUUCUCCAGAGGUAUGGGCCUUCCAGUGGGAGUGGAAUACCCAAAGUGUGCAAUAUUCCAGACUGAUUCCAAAGAACUGAAAGUGACCAGCCUUGAGAAAUACGGAUGAUAAUGAGAACUAUUUUUCUCACGUCUUCCCUCCCUCCCUCUCUUCCUUGCUUCCUUCCAUGCUUCCUUGCUUCCUUUCUUCUCUCUUCAUUUUCCUUUCUCUGACUUCCUAUUUCUGUUACAUCUUUUUAUACUACACUAGCUGCAAAUAUGAACCAAGAAACAUCAUUAAUUUUACCUAAGUGAGGUACCUAUUUUUCCAGAAAUGUAGAAUUAGAAAAAAAAAAGAGAGAGAGAGAACUAAAAGGAUAGAUGAAAAUAAUGAGAUUUAAAGAGAUUGUGUUUCACUCAAAGUUAAUAUAACGAUAUUGUCUGAGGAGAGACUAGAACUCAGGCCUUCUAAGUAAUCACCAUUUUUCUUAAUAAUGACUGAAUUUGAGUUAAGGCAAAUAAUGUUCUCUUGUUGUAUUAAACUUCUCCUCUGUUUUCUUAAAAAAUAUUCGGAUGUUUCUGUGUGUGAAUAAGUUUUUAACUAGGAAAUCUUUAUAAGGCUGUCAUAUGGGUCAAAUAAGAUUUACUUGUCUAUGCUUUUCAAAGAGGAUAAUUCAUUAGAUAUCUGAUUUUAGAAUUCUAGUUGCAAAAUGAUAUUGCAAAUUAAUGACUAAUGAUUUUAAUAUUUCGCUUUGCUUAUUUGUAUGUGUGUAUAUAAUAUGUGUGUUUGUAUAAGCAGAAAGUAGCUAUUUGAAUACCAGGCUUGGGCGACUGUUGAGAUUUCAGUGAAAAGACUCUGUAAGACUUGGAUUUCAAUGAGUCUUUCAGAUAUUUCAUUUUAUUUAGGAUGAUUUGUGAUUAUUUCCUGUUGUCAUAAAAGGCCACUUAGGCCUGUGGCAUGCCUUGAAUUGUCCCAGAAGGGGCUUCAUGGAAUAGUAGAAAGUUCUCUAAACCCUGAAACCAGGUGGACUUAGGUUUGAACUGAAGCUCUGCCACUGAAUAAUUUGUUACCUUGGGCAACUUGAUUAACCUCUCUCAACCCAGCUUAUCAUAUGAAUAUGGUACGAUGAUCCGUUAAUAUACCGACUUAUCUUUCUUCUUGCUAUUCUCCAUCCCAAGAAAGUAGGUGGAUGCCCUUGCCUCAGGACCGUAAUGGCUUACUGCAUAAGUUGCAGGUCCCAAUAUGACAGCCUCUCACCAAGACAUCUGGAAAAUUGAUGGGGGCUAGAACUUGGAGCUCGUGAGGCAGAGGAAGCCUACCCUGAGAAGAGAAGAGAGACUCACUCCUGGAGUCAGGGAAGAUGAUGGUGUUUUGUGUAAGAGGCGUAGGGCUUGUGAAGGGCCAGUUCAUGGAUAUCAGGACUGACUAAGAGCUAUGGCCUGAGAAGUCACAGGGAACAAUACAUGUCCAUGCUAGUCAUGGAUCAAAUGGAGCCACCUGCCUGUGAAUGGAUCCCGUGGGCCUGUGGGCCUGAUGGCCAAGAGAGCGGACCUCUCUCUAGAUUUAGGAAAAUAAGGUCAUGGAACACUUUUGACUAACACUCCAUAUCUUCUUGCACCAGGCAUCUUCACAGUAUCAUCAGAGGGUGGUUUUAUGAGAAAAUCCACAGUUUUAUAGCUGGUACAUUUGAUGUUGGAAGAAUGGAACAUGCAGAGGUGAAAACUAAGGAUUGUGUUCAUGUGGGCUUCCAGGCCAUCAAGAUGCCCUCCAACCUGAAGCAGGAAGUGAACAAUGGCUUGAUCAAAGUGGAAGAAACUUCAGAAGCACUGAUAAAGACAGGACACAUUAAUGUAUAUACCAUGUGAGGAAACCUGAGCAGGGCUCCGGGAGUGCCAAGUUUUACAUGGGCAGUGGUUACACGGGGUGAAACUGGUCGGUGGCAUAAACAGUCUUUGCACACUGCACAGAAGGCAGAUCUACCCCACCUACUGGGGAUGUAACCUGAACCGCUGGACUUGAAUACAACAGUUGGACCACCACCAGGAUACCAGGUGGUAGAAAAUGGUAUAAGCAUGAGGGUUGCUCUCUUGGGAAGUAAUAAUCACCAUGUCACAGUGUGUUUGUUAGACUUUAUGCAGUGGAAAUAUUUCAUUUGAACCUACACACCUCUAUAGCAGUAAGAAAUUAUGAUCUUCAUCUUAGAGAUGAUGAAACCACGGUUUUCUGACAAGAAGAUGAUCCCCUUAAGCAGAAUAGCAACAACUUUUGUCUAACUCUGGGUUUUAUUAAGUUCUUAAUUUUAGGGUGGUAAAUAUGGGGACCAAAGUCUUUGGGAUAUCCCAAAUGCAGGAAACAUCCUCCCUGCCCACAUUUAACUAACCAGAUGUAUUUAUGCGUAUAUGCUAUGGAGCCAUUACAGAGACAGAUGCGUAUAUCCACAUUACUGUCUUUUCUGCCCAGUGUAUCUGAAGUUCUGCUUGUAUGUAGAAGUUUUGCUCUUACCUGGGAGAAAACUGAGGUGUGAAGAGCAGGAGAUUUGUCCUUGCCCACAUGAUAAGUGAAAAGUUGCACCAAAAAGAACUAUCACUCUACAGUGUAGAAAUGUUCUUCCUAGUGAUGUGUUAAUUUUAACAAAAUGUUACCAUAAUGAAGCAGCAUAUUUAACUCAUGGAGGUUUUUUAUAGCAGUACUCUGUAUGUGCAAAGUAAAAUCUGAUAGUAUCUCUAACAGAGUCUUCCCCCCUUUUUUAAAAUAAAGAACUUCAAGAGCAGAGUGGGAGGGUUUUAAUGAUAAAAAUAUAAAGAGUAGGAUUCCUAUCAUCUUUAACUAAGGGUAGGCUCCAUUUCCUAGUUGUUUAACCUCUAAAAAAAUUCCAAUUCUUAAGAAAUUUAAGAUACUUUAGAAUCUAAAAUAACACUGAAUAUCAUUAGAAAAUUCCUUUAUCCUCUUCUGAUCAUUUUACUUUGGUAAACAACUUUUCUCAGUAUUCUUCUUAAAGAUCACUAUUUUUAAUUAAGUUGAAUCACAAAAUGGAUAGCAUGGUACAUGCAUUUUGCCCCUGAGAUACUUCAUUUUGAAAGAAUCCUAGAGUAGAGUUGAAGAGAUUAGAGUUGAAGGGAAAUUUACAAGACAUCAGUCUAAUCUUUGAUUCUGGGUAGGACUGUCAUUUACAACAUACCUGAAAGGAAACCAGGCAGUAUCUAUAAGAAUACGGCCAAUGAUUAGGGACCUCACUCCUUCACACAGUGGUCUACCCUCUGUUCCCCAAUUCUCAUCACUUUAUAGUUCUUCCUCAUUUUGAAUAAAAAUCUACCCAUUCUUUUGCCUGGACCUGACUCCCAAGUGACACAAAGUCUCCUCUUUCUUCAUAUAUGAUUUUUGAGGACUUGUUUCCUUGCUUCAGGCUUUUGUUCUUCCAAACAAAAGAUUUGUCUUUGAUUUGUCCUUUGAUUUGUCUUCCUCUACCUGUGGUUCAGAUCCAUCAGUAUCGUCCUUCCCUACGAAAGUCAUUGUCCUUUCAAUCUAUUAUAAUUUCCCAGUCUCCCUUUUAAAAUGUGCGCCUCAAAAUUUAUGCAACCUUUGGUAAUCUUCAGAAAUUGCUGCUGCUGAGAAAUGUCCCCUGCUUUAUGUGACUAGGCCUCGCCUCUUCAGCUCACCGGGCUCUUUCAGUGACAUUGGGUCUGAGGACCUACCUUUGCCAAGGUCUCAUCAUCCAGGUGAUUCUUCUGAAUCACAUGUUGAAGUGCAAAAUAAAUUUUUUCCUGAAGCUUCUGGACCUUCCUUGGUUCUAUCAGCCAGGCUCGGUCUGACAAAGGGAAAGAAUGGGUAAGGAGCGGACAGAACGUAAGCUUUGUUGUAUUUCACCUACAUACAUAUAAGUGCUGAGUACCAGACCCAUUUCAAAUUAGUUCCAAAUUGCUUCUGAAGACAUGUCAUUAUUUUUCUAAAACAAAUAUUUUAUAAGCAAUUCUAUGAUGACAGUAAUGUAUAAUACAUUGACAUACAGAAUCAGGGUGGAGGUAAAGACACAAUGGUUCAGAGAAACUCCAUGUGUCUUAUUGUCUGUGACAAUUUACAUCUCUUACUCUUUCUCUGGACAUACGCUUAGAUUUUCUUUCAAAGUUUACGUUAAUGAUUUGUGAAGAAAUGAAUUAUAGAAGUGAAGAAAACCUAUUGUAAAGGAGUGUUUUUGGAAUUCAGAAUCUCCCUUCCCUUUUAUAAGCUAAGUUAUAAUUUAUAUAGCAUCAACAUGAAUCAAUUAAAAAAUUUAAUCCUGAAUCCUCUUUUUCUAUAUUGAAUUUAAUAGAUAGGAUAAUCCCUCCUUUCCUUUAGCCUUUCCCACUUUCCUUUCUUUUUUCUUUCCUCCCUCCCUCCCUCUCUUUUGUUCCCUGCUUCCGUCCUUCCUUUCUUCCUAGACGCUUUAUACCAUGGUGACAAAAUUCAGCCCAGUGUCAACGCCUAAGGUUGAAACUUCAAUGAAGAGACACCUAGAGUCUCCAAAUUCUGAACAAAUACGCAUGGAAAAGAACUUGGACAUGAUCCUUCUGAACACAGUUCAGGUCAGGAACCAGAGUGAAACCAGCUCCCUCAUCAUGGACUCAAAGGCUUAGAACUGAUCUUCACCUGAACUAUAAUCAAUGGGAGCAAUCAAAUGCAAUGAGAAAACGGUGAGGAAACUGAGGCUCUGAGGGGUCAAGUGUUUAAGGUCACACACAUACCUGGUGACAGAGCCUGUCCUAGAAUGUCUACCACCACAUCGGAGAUUCUUCCUUUACCAGUCUUUAGUAAGGACCUCAGACCUCCCUACCUGGAGAUAUCAGAACAGCAGAUGAGAACAAAGCAAUCUCUUCUUCAGUCAGCUGCAAGGAACACAAAUUCUUUGCAAAGUCAAAUGCUUCAUUCACUAGGUCAUCAGAACCUAUAAAAGAAGGCAAAUUAAAUGAAAAUACUUGAACAGAAUGGGACAAUAGUAAGAAAAGUCCCAUGAUCAAGAAGUUAUUCAAGGAUUUGCAUACUAGGCACACAGAAAAAAUAUCUCUAAGUUCCUGACCAUAACAAAUGAUUUAGUGGUAAUUAUAGAAUGAGAAAAUUGGGCAACAUCUUGACCAGGUAAUGAAAGUCAACAUUACCAAUGAGGGGCAGAUAGAAAUGGUUUGCACCCAUUGUAAUACCCAACUGGGAAUAUAUAACCCCAAUCUAAUCUUGUAAGUUUGAAAUUAGCUCCAACUAAAAAAUUUUAAAUUAGUGAUUUGGGGAUCCUUUAGCACAGACGUAGCAUUCAUAGAAAACCUAAAACAUGUAUAAUGGGCCAUGGGCUGUCAGUCUUAGUGGCACUUAUAGGAUGUCACUGGCAAUGUAGGAUGUCCAGGGGCCUCAAGCUAAGCGAAUGGAGAUCAAGUGACUUUCAAUUUGGUAAUUUCCUGGAAAUUCGAUUGAGAAGCAAACAUUCAUUUAUGUUUACCUUCUAAUGAAUGACUCGCAGGUCAGUUGCUUAGCCAUUGUGAAUUCUGGCAAAAUAAUGCUUCAUCCCUACACGGAUCCUUGGUAAAUGUUUAUUUUAUGAAGCUGGAAAUAUACCCAAGUUGCUUGCCAAGGUUUUCCCUCCUUUCUUGAAAAUCUAGCCUUGGAGAUGCCAUGGAUGUAUAUCAGCUGCGGGAGGGAAACACUGCCGGCCCCGAUGGAUUUGCCAUUGGCUACCAUAUCAACUGACAGCACAAAAGGUGAAAGGGCAGUGGCCUUCUUUGAUGUCCGUGGGCAGGAUAUGGAACAAAUGGCACUGUCAAUUGUUAAAACCUUUCCUGGCACCAGCCCAUCUUUGCUAACGUUCUUAUCCAUGCCGUGCACUGAUGACUGGAUGUGAAUGACACACUUGCAGAGACUGGCUCUGUCCUGCCCUCCCACAAGAAUGGUCUGGGGAUCAUUUUGGGCUGGUUGGCAGCCACGCUAUCUGUGCUCCCAGAACUUCAUGAAUUAACAGGGAGAAAGUCACUACCCUGGGUUCGAAACAAAUGAAAGAGCUCCUCUUUUAAGCAUCCUAACUAAUGAUUAUAAAUUUGCAUGAGACACGUAAGAGGUCACCCAUGGACCACCAGUGGUCUACAUAACAUUCUUUGUGAAGCAGUAAGCUAGAAGGUAAAAGAAAAGCUGAUCCUACAAAGAAUGCCUAGAAUGCAUCCCAGUUCUUUACAAUCAGUUUUUGUUGAUUUCUGAAUGAAGCAUGUUCGUGUCAACAGGGUCCACGUUUCUUUCCUUCCUUUUACAUUUGGAGGCACAACUGUAAAAUCAGAGGAGUUAGAUGAAACACUGGAGGCUCCCCUAGUCCAGCCCUUAUUGAAUAAUGAGAUACUAAGUCAUGUUAGAGAAUCAAGGCAUUUCUUUUAGUGGAGAAACUGGUGGUAGUUAAUAGAAUUGUGUCAUCAUCAAAGGUGAACUCACCUAAGGCCUUGAACAUUUGCAUUCCUCCAUAUUUUCCUUCAAACAGAACAGUGUUGUUUAAUGGGUUGAAGGCACGGCACAUUCUCACUAAAACCACUUCCAAGCAACCUAUGAGAAAAAAAUUUCAAAUGUGUAUAUAUAUAUAAAGAGGUUACUACUGCAUAUAGGUCAAGAGACUUUAAAAAACUUUAAAACACACACAUAGACACAUAGACACACACAUUCAGAAACACCUCAAGAUUCCUUCCCAAGUAAAAAAGAACUAUGUUAGAAAUAAAGCUCUCUUGAAGUCUAUGUGAGGGAUUAAAGAUAAAAUACACUUUAAAGGUGACUAAAAUGAAGGGCAAAAACAUUUUCUUCAGAAGCAUACAUUUUCCCCCCUGUUUUUGACUGAUAAUGAAGUUAGUUUCAACUCUUGAAUUCACCGGUGAUCAUAAGUGGCCCAGAAAGGAGAUUUGCAGCAGGCAAGUUCAGUCUGUUAACUUUUGUAGAAGUUUUGCUGUUGGGGAAACCUGUUCUCUGCUUCAGUUUUUAACACACUCCAUGUAUAUUUCUGCAUACGAUGACUUCAAUAGGGACACCUUCAGGAUGUUUCUUGAGGGUACCAUUUAUGUCCUGGUAUCUUUGAAAUGAGGGUUUCUUGGUCAAAUAAGUUUUGGCAAAAGGCUGAACAUUAUCCACUCCAGGGAGUUAUAAGCAACAUUCACAGGUCAAAGGCUGUUGAAGUCCCAACAUGAAGGAGUUUGUUCAACCCUGAUGGACCUAACAUUUCUGAGUUCUCUGUUAGCCCAGUGGUGCCAGGACCUUCGUCUGCAGCCAUAGGCAACUGUGGUUAUUGUAUUCACUGUUAUAUCUCCAUCACCUAGAAGAGUCCCUGGCACAUAGUGGGUGCUUAAUAAAUAUUUAUUAAAUGAAUUAGUUCACUACCUUUGUUUUGCCCUCUGAACAUUUACUGACAUCCUGAGCAAGUACUGCAAAGUUUCUCCACAUUUUGGAGAAAUGGGCUUUUGCCCCACAGUGUGUUGGAAGGUGACACCCAGGCUCAGAAGUCAGAAAUUUGCAUGAGAACAUCAUAUAGAUGGUUUGGCUACACCCAUGUUGUACCCAACUGUACCCCUGGUGCCUUUCUUAAUGCUGCCAUGUAUAUUUAUGUCUGUGUUUUAUUUCUUUGUUCUGCUGAUGUAUCUGCUUUCCCUCAUAUGUCACCUUAGCAUAGAGGCUUACGCAUAAGAAGGAAUCUGCAAAUAUUAAUUGAAAUAAUGCUUUUCUGAGAAAAACAAUAAUAGGUACCAUUUAUUCACUAUCUACAAUAUGGAAGGCACGUCCCUUGACCCCUUACAUUCUUCUACAUUCCAUGUCUCCUACCCUUAAACCCAGGUGGGCCUACAUGACUGCCUUGACUAACAGGUGCAGUGGAAGUAACCCUAUGGGACUUCUGAAGCUAAGUCAGAAAAAUGCUACACACUUCUGCCUUGCUCUCUUGAAAUGCUAACUUUCGAAACCUAGCCACCAUGCUGUGAGAACGUCCAAGCAGUCUGUGCAGGGUAGGAACUGAGGCCCCCCUGAGCCCAAAGCCUUGUCUGAACUCCGGGCUGUCAACCAGCACGAACUGCCAGCCGUGAACACGAGCCAGUGCGCAAGUGGGUCCUCCUGCCCGCAGUCAGGCUGCCUCAGGGAACACCACAAGCCGUCCCUCGCUAAGCCCCGCUCAACCUGUAGCUUUGGAAGCAAAAUAAAUGAUUAUCGUUGUGUGAACUAAGUUUUGGGAUUGUUUUUAUCCAGCAACUAAUACAGCAGGUUCAUGUUUGAGUCAAGAUUUGCACCAACCUUAAUCAUUUGGUAACGAAGCAGCAGCAACUUAGAAUAAUUCUUUUGUUUGGCUCAAGUUCAAAAGACAGCUUUUCUCCACACCUCUUUUUGUACAGUAGAGACUAACACAACACUGUAAAGCAACUAUACUCCAGUAAAAAUUAAUUAAAAAAAAAUAAGCCAGCUUUGCCAGAUACUGGCUACGUGGUAUUGAACACAGCCCUUCACUUCCCUGAAUCUUUGCUUCCUCUUCUAUACGAUGGAAAUAAUUACUGAGCACACGAGAUUAAAAGAGAUGUCACAGGUAAACAUAAACAUAUAUAUAUAUAUGUUAUUGCAUAUAUAUAAAUUAUGUUAUUAUUAUUUGCUAUAGCCCAGGACCAUGAAGGUUCACAUGAACACCAUAGUGGUUCUUAUUUUCUAUUUUCAAAGGGGGCCAAAAAAGACAAAUACAUUUUUUUUCCUGUUUGGAUAAUGGCAGCUGCAAAGUCAAUCAUGUGCAAAGUUUCCUGAGUUGCUUCCUAAGUGACAGUGUGUGUGUGUCAGAGAGUGUGAGGGAGAAGUGGGAGGAAGGAUUAGAGCAGAGUGAGUUUCUCCCGGUGUAUUCUGGCUGCAGGCUAUCCUCAUUAAAAUGACUGGAAAUGACCACAGAGGCAGAGCUCAGCUAGCCUGGAUUUUUUUCCCCCCCAACAGAAGGCAAGUAGUACAUUUUAGAGCCAGCUCAGCAAUUCAGCCACCUUGACACGCUAAUUACUAGCACUGCCUGUCAAGCUGGGUAUCUCAACCUCCACAAUUAAUAGCUCCACUUUCAAUAAGCAAAAUUGUAUUUGACUUCAAAGGGGAACUGAAUGACUAUCAGGGCAUUUUUAUUAUUGAGAGUUUCCUUUGGGAGUUGGCUGACAGCGUGGGUGGUAAAAAUGAGCUACACGUUGGAUGGAGGAUUUUCUAGAACUAACAGCAAGCUAAGGGUCAACCACCUCCGGGUCUAAAAUAGGCCCCCCAUGAAUUUUCUUGCUUACCUGACUUCAGAAGUAGGAUUUGAUCAUUUUGACAGAGUUCCAUGAAGCCUGUUAUUCGCUUUGCAAACUCUACCACAUAUUGGAUGGCGUGAGUGAUCUGGAUGGCACAUUGCUGCCACAGUGCUUCCCUGGACUUCAAGAGAGAAAACACAGAAUGUACAUGGAGCAAAGAACAACUUGGAGACUCAGUGAAAUACUCAAGGUUGCCCUAACUGGCGCUUACCUGUCACUUGGGGUCCAUGGUAGGAAUCUACCCACCUUUAGAAGAGAGGCAAUAUUUUCUAAGAUAUUGCUUUGACCUCUUUGAACCUUGAUACACCACAAUUAUCAAAGUAAUGAGGCUAAAAUAAUGGAAAUAUUGCAAUAGUACAAAAAGAUAGGCAUUUAUAGUUUCUUUAUUAUUUUGCCUCCUCCUCACCUAAACAAACUCAAGCUCUUUAGUCUAUUUUGUAAAGUCAAACUCUUACACUGAGGAAUAGCAAUUUCAUUCACAGGCUUCCAAAAAAUUAUUUCCACGUGUACCUGACAGACACUAAGUCUGUAAUAUUUUUAUGUU
Non-coding RNA from Delphinapterus leucas (beluga whale), 15058 nucleotides. NCBI's taxonomy places the organism in Eukaryota, Metazoa, Chordata, Mammalia, Artiodactyla, Monodontidae. The record is from RefSeq and is a predicted model, not a curated record.